CCGGACUAUGCCAGCCAAGAGUCGAUGUUCAGCAUUUCGUCGAUUUAAUCGAAAAUCAGCGGUUCUGACAAGAAGGCAAAGGAACAAAAGAAGAAAGGUCUUCUGCGCAGACUGUUGCGCUGGAUCAAAUUUAAACGGACGCAUACCAAAACGGAGCGCGGAUGUUCACAUUAGGACGUGUCUGUACGCGCAAACCCGGAUUUUCAUGAUAAUAUUUUGAAACCAAUGGUGAUGGAGAAGGUAACUGACUGAUGCAGCAGCACCGAAGAGUCAGUUUGAGGAGUGUGCUGUAGUCUAUACCUGGCAACAGCUGCGAUUGUUGGGAGGCUGACAAACCUCUUUGAUAGUUUCAAUGGUGGAAUGCGUGUUAACCCAGGGAAGACACUGAGUUGCCCACUCACCCAUAAAAGCAGUCCACAUAUGGAUUAUUGGAUAAACCCGCCUUUCUUCAUUGUCCACCUUCACAGAAUGUGUGGGUAGUUGUCAUUACUGCUGCCAAGUAUGUGUAUAGGACAGUGAAAGAGGCGGAUUUUAAGCACCUUCAAACCCCAAAUCUGACUCAGGAUCCCUUUACAUUUGUACUGUGGUUCGAACAAUAACCCAAUUGUCGGAGAGUCUGUAGCUGCCCCAAAGACUAGCAUCAUCAGUGGCUUUGCUUUUAGAGGUUUGUGUGGAGCUAACUGUGAGGGCACCUGAUGCUGCUUCACCAUAUCCCUCCACAAGUUGUGGCGAGGAACCCACUGAUGCUGUUCCUGAGACUUUCCAUGUUGCAGGUCACAGGUGCUGCAGUACAUGCUGGUGAUAGGGAAGUCUUCCCACACAGCAGCCUAUGUCAGUGGUUCCACUGUCAGACAUGUGCUUCAUGGUGUCAGCUGUCAUGUGCCGCUCUCAGCCACUGCCAUCGUAUAUUUCGAGGAGUACAGUGAUACGGAACAGUCACUCACUUAUCCCUCUGAGAAGAUGGUGGAGACUAUUGGUACUGUUGUAACCCUAAGGAGUCUGUGAUGGCAAAGGUACUUUUUUUUUUGCUAGUGGGGUGGGACUAAGUUCCUUGUACUGCGGCCACUUCUGGCCUGUUGUACCAGCC
Long non-coding RNA from Cryptotermes secundus, 1087 nucleotides. RefSeq lists it as uncharacterized. The record is from RefSeq and is a predicted model, not a curated record. The transcript has 4 exons. Lineage: Eukaryota; Metazoa; Arthropoda; Insecta; Blattodea; Kalotermitidae.